GGAAAAGAAACUAACAAGGAUUCCCCUAGUAGCGGCGAGCGAAGCGGGAAGAGCUCAAAUUUAUAAUCUGGCACCUUCGGUGUCCGAGUUGUAAUCUCUAGAAGUGUUUUCCGCGUUGGACCGCACACAAGUCUGUUGGAAUACAGCGGCACAGUGGUGAUACCCCCGUACACGGUGCGGACGCCCAGCGCUUUGUGAUACACUUUCAAUGAGUCGAGUUGUUUGGGAAUGCAGCUCAAAUUGGGUGGUAAAUUCCAUCUAAAGCUAAAUAUUGGCGAGAGACCGAUAGCGAACAAGUACCGUGAGGGAAAGAUGAAAAGCACUUUGGAAAGAGAGUUAACAGUACGUGAAAUUGUUGGAAGGGAAACGCUUGAAGUUAUACUUGCUUGCCGGAGCAAUUCGGUAUGCAGGCCAGCAUCAGUUUUCCGGGGUGGAUAAUGGCGGUUUGAAGGUAGCAGCUUCGGCUGUGUUAUAGCUUUCCGCUGGAUACAUCCUGGGGGACUGAGGAACGCAGCGUGCUUUUAGCGAAGGUUUCGACCUUUCCACGCUUAGGAUGCUGGUGAUGUGACUUUAAACGACCCGU
RNAcentral lists this ribosomal RNA (583 nucleotides) under Rhodotorula aff. araucariae TR 8.d. RNAcentral describes it as "eukaryotic LSU rRNA". It matches the Rfam family "Eukaryotic large subunit ribosomal RNA", at positions 55 to 652 of the family's 3401-position model. Lineage: Eukaryota; Fungi; Basidiomycota; Microbotryomycetes; Sporidiobolales; Sporidiobolaceae. The record is from RNAcentral.